AAAAUCUUUCUACUAAAUGCCAAAUCAGAUUCUCCAAAAUCAAUUGCUCCUCUCCCAUUCACGAAGAACCCUAAUUUCAUCUCAAUAAGCAUCUUCCCCAAAUCAAUUGAUCCCCAACGUUACCUGAAGAACCCUAACGCCCAAAAUGGAUUCGCGAAGUAUGGGAACAAAGAAUCGACCAUUGUUCUCGGUUGCAAUCCCAACUUCAACUCAAGCACCCCAACCUGCAAAAUCGAAUAGAAAGUAUGUGAACAAACAAUUGGCCAUUCGUCUAUGUCGUGAUCCCCAAAUUCAGCUCAAGAAUCCUAACCCCGAUCGAAUUGCGAAGUAUGUGUUCCAAAAAUCCGCAAUUGUUCUACACACUUGAAGGCAUAAACAUGGACGGUUCUGAUGAAGGUAAUUCCACCAUUUUAGUGGGCUUAGUGGAAUAAUUUUUUCUGCGUCUGUUUUGGAAAUUUAAAUAAAUUACCUCAUUUUUGGCUUAGUUUAAUUUAAUAAUAAUUGAUUUCUAGGUUCUUAUUUUUGUGCUAUUUUUUUUUAUUACGUAAUAACACGACCCUAAAAAAUAUUGAAGUUGUGUGAUAACUCAAUUGGAAAAGUUUCUGCAAUGUUUAAUUGAUGUGAAACCAAGCACUUAACGUUGAAUCUGUCAAACUUUAAUAGAAAGUGCAUGAUUUUUGGUUUUGUGUUUUUGAUAAAGUUGAGUCUCCUAUUAACAAUUUGUACAUUUACCUCCUUAAAUGUGAGACGGUGAAAUUGCAGUACAUUUUGAAUGUUAAAGUUGAAUAUUUUCUUCUUCAUAUAUUACUGUCCAAAUGUUAAUGAGCUGUAAUUUUAUGACAGAAUUAACUAUGCCGGAUGAGAUUAGAUGUUUCUAAGCUCGAUGAACUCUUAAUGCCACGCUUAGAACUUCAUAGUGCUAUUCACAAAGUUGGAUUAAGCACGUUGUUGAUUUUCGUUUGGAAAUUUUGUGCCAGAGUAGGAACAAACAGCUCAUCCAUUAAUUAUUGCCCUCAUACCUUCUAGUUCCUAGAUGUUAAUUAUGAGCAGUAAGCAUAAAUGUUGUUGUGUGUAUUGCCAAUUCAUUACGCUAACUAUAUGACUGUCUUACUGUUCGUGGCUGCAAUGGCAUGGAAGAAUAUGUGCAAUUUGAGGGUGAGUCCAGUGGUGAAAACCAAUGUGUUUGUUCGGGUAACUCUCAGCCCGAAGUUCCAAUUGAAGAUUUGUCUUGUGUAUUGAAGGAUUCGCAUAACCGAACGAGAGGAAGUGGAAAUCUCAUUCAAUGUUACUAUCCGCAAGGGUAAAGGUCGUGUAGAAAAGAACGGGAGAUAGAAGGGAAGAGCUCCGUGAAUUAGACCGCCCAUGUUGUUGAUUAAAGAAAUGUUAUAAUAUUCAUCAAGUUGGACCAAUGUUAUUGUAUUCGUAAAGUUUUUUAAUUAUGCCGUUGUAUGCACUUCUUAUAAAGUUUGAAUUGAUUUUGUUGACCUGGGAUCUUACCAUUGUUGGGGAGAUUGAAUGGAUUUGAUUUGAUAUUUUACCAUGCGUAUGUAUGCUUG
RNAcentral lists this long non-coding RNA (1556 nucleotides) under Olea europaea subsp. europaea. Lineage: Eukaryota; Viridiplantae; Streptophyta; Magnoliopsida; Lamiales; Oleaceae. The record is from RNAcentral.